AUGACCUUAUUAGACUGUGUUUAGAGACUUCGAUUUGGACAAGUCUGGCACCAUGAGCUCCUAUGAAAUGCGUCUGGCACUAGAAUCUGCAGGCUUCAAGCUGACCAAUCACCUGUUUCAGUUAAUAAUCCUGCGUUAUUCUAAGCCAGACAUGAAUGUGGACUUUGACAGCUUUGUAACCUACCUGAUUCGUCUAGAGAGCAUGUUCAAGACGUUCAAGACUUUGGACACAGAUUCAGAUGGAGUGGUGUCUCUAAGUUUUCCUCAG
Long non-coding RNA from Trichomycterus rosablanca, 268 nucleotides. RefSeq lists it as uncharacterized. The transcript is spliced from 3 exons. The record is from RefSeq and is a predicted model, not a curated record. NCBI's taxonomy places the organism in Eukaryota, Metazoa, Chordata, Actinopteri, Siluriformes, Trichomycteridae.